Molecule: ribosomal RNA, 253 nt
Filed under: uncultured bacterium
Lineage: Bacteria
Description: partial 16S ribosomal RNA
Rfam family: Bacterial small subunit ribosomal RNA
Source: RNAcentral
UACGUAGGGUGCGAGCGUUAAUCGGAAUUACUGGGCGUAAAGUGUGCGCAGGCGGCUUCGCAAGUCGAGUGUGAAAUCCCCGAGCUUAACUUGGGAAUUGCGCUCGAAACUACGGAGCUGGAGUGUGGCAGAGGAAGGUGGAAUUCCACGUGUAGCGGUGAAAUGCGUAGAUAUUCGCAGGAACACCAGUGGCGAAGGCGGCUUACUGGUCCAUUACUGACGCUGAGGUGCGAAAGCGUGGGGAGCAAACAGG